UUGCAUGUGGAAAUGCCUGCUCCUCAUUCCUUUGGGAACAGGAACAUAUCCAUGACAUGCUACAUUAAAAAAAAGGAGUUCUGCCAACCCUAGGAUAUUUCUCCUACACUA
Small nucleolar RNA from Molossus molossus (Pallas's mastiff bat), 111 nucleotides. RefSeq annotates it as small nucleolar RNA U109. Lineage: Eukaryota; Metazoa; Chordata; Mammalia; Chiroptera; Molossidae. The transcript has a single exon. The record is from RefSeq and is a predicted model, not a curated record.